UAACAGGGCGUGAGAGAAGAUUAGUCAAGUAUUGCAUAGUAAACAGGAUGUUUAGUUGGGUAUAUAAGCGCGUGUAUAGCGCGAGCUGUGAUAUAAUCCACAAACCGAGAAACUAUUACAGAUUCCAUUAACUUCAUAUACAAGAUGAAUUCUGUUAGCUUGAUGUGUGUUGUAUUGGUUACUCUAUGUUUAGUGGUGGAUGUAACUCAUGGCAUGGCAAGGGAUUGGACUGGAGACUGUUGGAAGAGAAGUCAGUGUAAAGGCUGCAACUCAGACUAUGUUUCAAUUGCGAACGGCGUGAAACUCUGCUGUGCCAACUGCCAAGAGAAAGGUCUCAUCAUCAACGUCGGUUUGAAGACCUGCUUUUGUAAUGUUUAAAUCUCACUCUUCAACAAUCUAUUUUCUUGUAACCCAAUUUCAUUUGAUUAUCUCAUUUUGAUUUAAUGUCAAUCUUCCAUUUUACCAAAAUAUACCCUUGGCUUAUUGUUUUGAAAAUAGAUAAAAAAGUUGAAAGUCA
Patella vulgata (common limpet) is the source of this 517-nucleotide long non-coding RNA. RefSeq lists it as uncharacterized. Lineage: Eukaryota; Metazoa; Mollusca; Gastropoda; Patellidae. The record is from RefSeq and is a predicted model, not a curated record. The transcript is spliced from 4 exons.